RNAcentral lists this ribosomal RNA (254 nucleotides) under uncultured bacterium. RNAcentral's name for it is "partial 16S ribosomal RNA". It matches the Rfam family "Bacterial small subunit ribosomal RNA", at positions 524 to 776 of the family's 1533-position model. The record is from RNAcentral.
UACGAAGGGGGCUAGCGUUGUUCGGAAUCACUGGGCGUAAAGGGCGCGUAGGUGGCCCGGUCAGUUCGUGGUGAAAGCGCGGGGCUCAACCCUGCGUCGGCCAUGAAUACUGCCGCGGCUGGAGCACUGUAGAGGCAGGCGGAAUUCCGGGUGUAGCGGUGGAAUGCGUAGAGAUCCGGAAGAACACCGGUGGCGAAGGCGGCCUGCUGGGCAGUUGCUGACACUGAGGCGCGACAGCGUGGGGAGCAAACAGG